This 318-nucleotide ribosomal RNA is filed under the name Nephilengys livida. RNAcentral's name for it is "eukaryotic LSU rRNA". The stretch from base 1 to 113 matches the Rfam family "5.8S ribosomal RNA", at positions 44 to 154 of the family's 154-position model. The record is from RNAcentral. Lineage: Eukaryota; Metazoa; Arthropoda; Arachnida; Araneae; Nephilidae.
CGCAGCGAAUUGCGAUAAUUGGUGUGAAUUGCAGGACACAUCGAACGCCCAGUUUUCGAACGCACAUUGCGGCCCCGGUUGACCGUCCCGGGGCCUCGCCCGUCUGAGGGUCCUUUCACCAUCGGAGGAGGCCCCGUGCCUUCAGUGGGCCGGUGUCGGGAGCGCGAGCGCUCCCGUCGGCCGUAGAUAUCCGUGCCAGGUGUCCGCCCCGAGGAGACGAGUCUCCGUAGAAGGGGGGAGACGGGCACCCCCGACCGAGGGGAAGCUCUCCGGAAGACCUCAGAACGGACGAGGCGACCCGCCGAACUUAAGCAUAUC